CUGUAUCAUUGAUGUUUUAAAAUGCUGCCUGGUUAUAUGUGAGCAGUGUUAUUUCUUAUGUGCUAUACAGAUAGUUGAAGGUUAAUUAGCAGUAUAACUAUAAAUAGUAAUGCUGCCAGUCUCCUUCAGACAAGA
Otolemur garnettii (small-eared galago) is the source of this 135-nucleotide small nucleolar RNA. The record is from Ensembl. Lineage: Eukaryota; Metazoa; Chordata; Mammalia; Primates; Galagidae.